GGGUUUGUAGCUCAAUGGUACAGCAUUGGCAUUGCAUGCAAAAAAAGGGCCAGAUUCAACCCCUGGGAUGUCCC
Molecule: non-coding RNA, 74 nt
Organism: Podarcis lilfordi (Lilford's wall lizard)
Lineage: Eukaryota; Metazoa; Chordata; Lepidosauria; Squamata; Lacertidae
Source: the annotation of a GenBank genome assembly